RNAcentral lists this long non-coding RNA (217 nucleotides) under Musa acuminata (dwarf banana). RNAcentral's name for it is "long non-coding RNA (MACU_LNC011379)". The record is from RNAcentral. Lineage: Eukaryota; Viridiplantae; Streptophyta; Magnoliopsida; Zingiberales; Musaceae.
GAAUUAGUGCAGCGGAAAUAUUUCAGCGAUUAAAAACGAAAGCUGCGUUCGUUUGAUAAAAACUAUUUUGAUGCAAAAGCCGAUUCUAAGAAUACUUAUGAUUAAGUGCAGUUUAUGUCUAAACACAGUUUGCGUCUAAGCGCAGUUUACGCAGUUUGCGUCUAAAUGCAGUUUGCGUCUAAAUGCAGAUUGCGUCUAAGCGCAGUUUGCGUCUAAG